UCUCUCUCCCUCUCCCUCCGCCGGAUUUUCUUCCCGCUCGUCCGCCGCCGUCCGACCGCCUGGGACUGCCGCACCGGUCACGUUCGGUCGGCCGUCGACCCAGCUUUCUUCUUGGACCGGUGAGAGCUGCCCUAGCGCCGCCGUGAAGAAGGGAGCUCGCCCGGAAGCUUCGGCUGCGUGGUGGAGUCCCGACGCCGGAACUCGCUCUUCCGGCCACCAUUUCGGAUGAUUUCAGUUCCAUUUGGAAGUGCUCUCUGUGUGUAGCUUUUCCCUAGAAGGUAAUGAUCCAAUUCGAAGUGUGUAGGAGGAUUUUCGGGCUAGGGUUUGAAUUGGGUGAUUUUUGGAUGUUUUGAUUCGAUUACCCUAUUUAGGCUUGAAAUUGGACUUAGUGCUAGUUAAGAAAGUUGUAGAGUAGGUUGAGAGGAAGCUGCUGUUUAAUUUUGGUGAGCAUUGGAGGUCGCCGGAAUUGGCCUCCGGCCGCCGCUGCCGGCGGAGCCGCCGCCGCCGCCGGUUGGGAGAUUUUUAUGUUUUUAAAUGUAGAAUAUUAAGAGGAGUAUAUUGAUGUGAUUUAUGGAAUUUUUGGAUGAGAUUUGGAUAGGUUUGUGAAUUUCCGAAGUUUGGUAUUUUUGGCGGUUAAUUAAUGUAGAAUCCGGCCGUAGGAUUUAAGUCGUAUUUUGAGGAGGUGGUAUUUACGAUUGUUGAGUAUGAUAUUUAAGUUCGGAUCGUUCCGAUUUAUGAUUAUCGAAGUUAGGCAAUGAUGAGCGUAUUUAUGGCUCUCGGGUAAUUUUGCCUAUUUUGAUUAAAUAUUGGAUUAUUGGUUGGGAAAUUAAUAUUAUAUUUGGAAACAGGACGUGAGGAGGCUCAAGCAGAAGAGACCUCGGAUCGACGUCAGGCUUAGGCCUAAAGUUGUGAGUGGACUUUUGUUUUAAAAUAUAUGCAUGUGGUGAUUCUACAUUAAAUGAUUGAUUUUAUUGAAUAUCAAUUUGUGGAUUUGUCUGUUUUCGCGAAGUCAUUUUCAGAAGUAAAUGUUAUCAUUUUUAAUGGCUAUCGUGUUAUUUGGAAAGUUACCGAAAAUGAGAUUUUCGGUAAAGUCGUGUGCGUAUUGCUUUUUAUGAUAAUUGGCAAUUUUCAUUAUCGUUGGAGAAUAACUGAAAUUGAGAAUUUCGGUGAGUAUGUAUAUAUAUCCAUAUUUGGAUGAUUAUGAGAAUAAUAUGUAUAUGAGAGAAUGCUAGCUAGCUAUACGUGCUUUUCCACCAUACUGAGGUAAAAUUCCAUUAUGGUGCAACGUGAGCGUUAGACACAAUCGUUGUAGCCCUAUAUAAAUAUAAUAAUUUAUAUAGGGGAUAUGCGCGUAUAUUUAUACACCGUCUUUUCCACCAUAAUGAGGUAAAAUGUCAUUAUGGUGCAACGUGAGCGUUAGACGCAAGCGUUGUAGCCUCGUGUGAAUUUUCUAUUUGUUUUUGUUGUUUCAAGAAAAUUCAUACAAGGGAUAUGACGAGUGUAAUACAUACAUAUUUUUAUUUUAGCCUGAGAGGCUGUAUGUUAUUGAGCGUUGGAGACUGGCCGGAGCUAGUCAUGAAAUUUCCAGUUUUCGUGUUGAGCGUUUUGAGCUGUCGCAUGCAACAUAUUUUUCUAUGGAAAUGUAAAUUGGGAAAGCAUAAAUAUUUUCAUUAAAUUUAUCUUUUUGUCCA
Molecule: long non-coding RNA, 1691 nt
Filed under: Fragaria vesca (wild strawberry)
Lineage: Eukaryota; Viridiplantae; Streptophyta; Magnoliopsida; Rosales; Rosaceae
Description: long non-coding RNA (FVES_LNC003987)
Source: RNAcentral